This 406-nucleotide ribosomal RNA is filed under the name uncultured soil bacterium. RNAcentral's name for it is "bacterial SSU rRNA". It matches the Rfam family "Bacterial small subunit ribosomal RNA", at positions 26 to 431 of the family's 1533-position model. The record is from RNAcentral.
AGAUUGAACGCUGGCGGCAUGCCUUACACAUGCAAGUCGAACGGCAGCAUGAUCUAGCUUGCUAGAUUGAUGGCGAGUGGCGAACGGGUGAGUAAUACAUCGGAACGUGCCCUGUAGUGGGGGAUAACUAGUCGAAAGAUUAGCUAAUACCGCAUACGACCUGAGGGUGAAAGUGGGGGACCGCAAGGCCUCAUGCUAUAGGAGCGGCCGAUGUCUGAUUAGCUAGUUGGUGAGGUAAAGGCUCACCAAGGCGACGAUCAGUAGCUGGUCUGAGAGGACGAUCAGCCACACUGGGACUGAGACACGGCCCAGCUCACGGGAGCAGCAGGUGGGAAUUUGGACAAGUGGACGAAAGCCUAGAUCCAGCAAUGCCGCGUGUGUGAAGAGGUCCGUUCGGUUAGUAAGU